UGGGGAACAUCAAUUGUUUUGGGAAAAUCGACGAUCAUUUAAGGUAAUCUUCCUUAUAUUUAUUGUUUUUUAUAACAAAAAGUGUGAAAAAAAUGUCUAAUUAGUUAUAAAGAAACUACCAGACCUGCCAGAUCAGAGCAAUGGCACUUUUUCAAAAAAUCCCAGGGGGAACCCAAACCCAGGGUGCUCGCAUAAGGCAGCUUAACUGCCUAAAAAUGCUAAAAUUAUCAUUGAUACCUGUAUCUAACGUUCAUUUCAAGUAUUUUGUUGAAGAAAUAAAGUGGAAAGAGCUUCUUCACUCAGUCAUGCUUUGUAAACAUACACAGAUUUUACGUAUCCAUUUACAGGGAUUGAAGUUAAGAUUUUGGCAUGGUUGCCCACAGCUUAAAUUUUGUAGCCAAUAUAUAUAAGUCUAUACUAGAAAAGCAGAAAUUUCAGUAGCC
Molecule: long non-coding RNA, 443 nt
Filed under: Mytilus galloprovincialis (Mediterranean mussel)
Lineage: Eukaryota; Metazoa; Mollusca; Bivalvia; Mytilida; Mytilidae
Source: RNAcentral